CAACUUGUUGGUGAGGUCGUGGCUCACAAAGGUUGCGACGGGUAACGGGGAAUCAGGGUUCGAUUCCGGAGAGGGAGCCUGAGAAACGGCUACCACAUCUAAGGAAGGCAGCAGGCGCGCAAAUUACCCAAUCCAGAAUUUGGGAGGUAGUGACGAGAAAUACCGGAGUUGAUCAUAAUGGUUAACUAUCGGAAUGAACGUAAUUUAGUACCUUCGAUGAGUAGCUACUGGAGGGCAAGUCUGGUGCCAGCAGCCGCGGUAAUUCCAGCUCCAGUAGUGUAUAUCAAUGUUGUUGCGGUUAAAACGCUCGUAGUUGGAUUACAAAAGCUCGAUGGGGCCCGAGCUCAAGUAGUUCGGGUGUCGUGGGGUUUUUUUAUCGCGAGAGCCGUGUGUGGGAUUAAUUUCUUGUAUGCGGUCACUUGCGGAGUGUGCCUUGAAUAAAGCACAGUGCUCAAAGCAGGCGUACGCUCGAAUGUUAUAGCAUGGAACGAAUAUGUUGACCGUGUCGAUUGUUGGUUGUUGACGGGGUCUCGAUUAAAAGGAACAUUUGAGGGCGUUGGUACUUGGUGGCGAGAGGUGAAAUUCUUAGACCCACCAAAGACUCACAAAUGCGAAAGCAUUCGCCAAGAGUGUUUUCAUUAAUCAAGAACGAAAGUCAGAGGUUCGAAGACGAUCAGAUACCGUCGUAGUUCUGACAGUAAACGAUGCCAACCUGGGGUUAGUCCGGUGCUA
RNAcentral lists this ribosomal RNA (732 nucleotides) under Unicapsula pflugfelderi. RNAcentral describes it as "SSU rRNA". It matches the Rfam family "Eukaryotic small subunit ribosomal RNA", at positions 316 to 1066 of the family's 1831-position model. Lineage: Eukaryota; Metazoa; Cnidaria; Myxozoa; Multivalvulida; Trilosporidae. The record is from RNAcentral.